Molecule: long non-coding RNA, 832 nt
Filed under: Zonotrichia albicollis (white-throated sparrow)
Lineage: Eukaryota; Metazoa; Chordata; Aves; Passeriformes; Passerellidae
Description: lncRNA (ENSZALG00000015933.1)
Source: RNAcentral
CAAAUCAGAAACUGCAGUGGAGACAGCAGAAGAGGUCAAGCAGAGGAACCCGACUUUGAAGCGCUACAGCCCCACUGAGCAUCUUGUGAGCAAGUCUGGCAAGCCAAAGCUGAGAAAAACAAACCAAAACUGUCUUGGUAGAAAAUACAGUAAGAUGAAUGAAUUAGUCAAAAAGUUCACUGAGAGGACAGUAAGAAAGGAGGCGUUGAAAUGUGAGCUAAGCAUGAAAAUCUUUGGAAAUGAACUUAGCUUCCUAAAUUGUGAAGAUUUAAGAAAACAAAUGAAACAUUAUUCCUUAAAUCUGGCUGAGUUGGCUGUCAAACUUCUGAAGGGGCAGGAGGUCCAGUUUAAUAAAAGGAUGAGCUUGGCCACUGAAGAGCUGCAGUUUCCAGCAAUUUCAGGCUUUCCUGUUCAACUGGCAGUCAAUGCCUCAGCAGCAAUCAACGUAAAAAUAAAAGGGAAUGCUGAUUUCAAACAACAGUCCAAUUUCUUUCUAAAUGGAUAUAUCAAGCCAAGUGCAUUUGUUCAGCUUUCUGUCCAAAUGGGAAUUGUGGGGACUCUGGGACAAGCUGGCCUAAAGUGGUUAACAGGAAUGAGGACAUCUACUAGUCUUGAUGGGGGGAUCCAGGUGAAGAAGGGGAAAGAGCUCAAAGUUUUCUUGAACACUCCAGAAGAAUCUAUGGAGAUAAUUAAUUUCAGCUCUAAACUCUACUACAGAAUGGUGGAUGAGACAGAGGAUAUAGAUGUCUUCCAAGACCACACAGAGACCAGGUCCUGCACUAGGGAGGAAGGUGAGUCCAGCUAUUAUGUUUGUCUUAGAAAGGCAUUCUGA